This 459-nucleotide ribosomal RNA is filed under the name uncultured bacterium. RNAcentral describes it as "partial 16S ribosomal RNA". It matches the Rfam family "Bacterial small subunit ribosomal RNA", at positions 338 to 795 of the family's 1533-position model. The record is from RNAcentral.
CCUACGGGUGGCAGCAGUGAGGAAUAUUGGUCAAUGGCCGGAAGGCUAAACCAGCCAAGCCGCGUGAAGGACGAAGGUGCCAAGCAUUGUAAACUUCUUUUGUCAAGGGACAAAAUCAGGCUCGAGAGCCUGACCGAGGGUACUUGAAGAAAAAGCAUCGGCUAGCUCCGUGCCAGCAGCCGCGGUAAUACGGAGGAUGCGAGCGUUAUCCGGAUUUAUUGGGUUUAAAGGGUGCGUAGGCGGGCUGUUAAGUCAGCGGUAAAAGCCCGGGGCUCAACCCCGGCGAGCCGUUGAAACUGGCUGUCUUGAGAUGUCGAGAGGUAUGCGGAAUGCGCAGUGUAGCGGUGAAAUGCUUAGAUAUUGCGCAGAACUCCGAUUGCGAAGGCAGCAUACCGGCGGCGAUCUGACGCUGAGGCACGAAAGCGUGGGUAUCGAACAGGAUUAGAUACCCGUGUAGUC